RNAcentral lists this unclassified non-coding RNA (200 nucleotides) under Schizothecium sp. RNAcentral describes it as "partial internal transcribed spacer 2". The record is from RNAcentral. Lineage: Eukaryota; Fungi; Ascomycota; Sordariomycetes; Sordariales; Schizotheciaceae.
UUAAGUUCAGCGGGUAUUCCUACCUGAUCCGAGGUCAACCUUGAUGUGGGGGGGGUUUCACGGCAAGAACCCGACGCGUUCCCUGAGCGAGGAUGUUUACUGCACUCGGUACGACGACGAGCCCGCCACUGGUUUCAGGGCCUGCGGCAGCCGCAGGUCCCCAACACAAGCCGGGGGCUUGAUGGUUGAAAUGACGCUCG